Molecule: ribosomal RNA, 469 nt
Filed under: uncultured bacterium
Lineage: Bacteria
Description: partial 16S ribosomal RNA
Rfam family: Bacterial small subunit ribosomal RNA
Source: RNAcentral
GACGAACGCUGGCGGCGUGCUUAGCACAUGCAAGUCGAACGGAAAGGCCCUGCUUGCAGGGUGCUCGAGUGGCGAACGGGUGAGUAACACGUGGGUGAUCUGCCCCUUACUUUGGGAUAAGCCUGGGAAACUGGGUCUAAUACUGGAUAGGACCAUGCUGUAGGUGGUGUGGUGGAAAGAUUAGUUUCGGUAAGGGAUGAGCUCGCGGCCUAUCAGCUUGUUGGUGGGGUAAUGGCCUACCAAGGCGUCGACGGGUAGCCGGCCUGAGAGGGUGGACGGCCACAUUGGGACUGAGAUACGGCCCAGACUCCUACGGGAGGCAGCAGUGGGGAAUAUUGCACAAUGGGCGCAAGCCUGAUGCAGCGACGCCGCGUGGGGGAUGACGGCCUUCGGGUUGUAAACUCCUUUCAGCCAUGACGAAGCCCUUGUGGUGACGGUAGUGGUAGAAGAAGCACCGGCUAACUACGUG